UUUUAAAUUUAGAGUUUGAUCCUGGCUCAGGACGAACGCUGGCGGCGUGCUUAACACAUGCAAGUCGAGCGAUGAAACUUCCUUCGGGAAGUGGAUUAGCGGCGGACGGGUGAGUAACACGUGGGUAACCUGCCUCAAAGUGGGGGAUAGCCUUCCGAAAGGAAGAUUAAUACCGCAUAAUAUAAGAGAAUCGCAUGAUUUUCUUAUCAAAGAUUUAUUGCUUUGAGAUGGACCCGCGGCGCAUUAGCUAGUUGGUAAGGUAACAGCUUACCAAGGCAACGAUGCGUAGCCGACCUGAGAGGGUGAUCGGCCACAUUGGAACUGAGACACGGUCCAGACUCCUACGGGAGGCAGCAGUGGGGAAUAUUGCGCAAUGGGGGAAACCCUGACGCAGCAACGCCGCGUGGGUGAUGAAGGUCUUCGGAUUGUAAAGCCCUGUUUUCUAGGACGAUAAUGACGGUACUAGAGGAGGAAGCCACGGCUAACUACGUGCCAGCAGCCGCGGUAAUACGUAGGUGGCGAGCGUUGUCCGGAUUUACUGGGCGUAAAGGGUGCGUAGGCGGAUGUUUAAGUGGGAUGUGAAAUCCCCGGGCUUAACCUGGGGGCUGCAUUCCAAACUGGAUAUCUAGAGUGCAGGAGAGGAAAGCGGAAUUCCUAGUGUAGCGGUGAAAUGCGUAGAGAUUAGGAAGAACACCAGUGGCGAAGGCGGCUUUCUGGACUGUAACUGACGCUGAGGCACGAAAGCGUGGGUAGCAAACAGGAUUAGAUACCCUGGUAGUCCACGCCGUAAACGAUGGAUACUAGGUGUAGGGGGUAUCAACUCCCCCUGUGCCGCAGUUAACACAAUAAGUAUCCCGCCUGGGGAGUACGGUCGCAAGAUUAAAACUCAAAGGAAUUGACGGGGGCCCGCACAAGCAGCGGAGCAUGUGGUUUAAUUCGAAGCAACGCGAAGAACCUUACCUGGACUUGACAUCCCUUGCAUAGCCUAGAGAUAGGUGAAGCCCUUCGGGGCAAGGAGACAGGUGGUGCAUGGUUGUCGUCAGCUCGUGUCGUGAGAUGUUAGGUUAAGUCCUGCAACGAGCGCAACCCUUGUUAUUAGUUGCUACCAUUAAGUUGAGCACUCUAAUGAGACUGCCUGGGUAACCAGGAGGAAGGUGGGGAUGACGUCAAAUCAUCAUGCCCCUUAUGUCCAGGGCUACACACGUGCUACAAUGGUAGGUACAAUAAGACGCAAGACCGUGAGGUGGAGCAAAACUUAUAAAACCUAUCUCAGUUCGGAUUGUAGGCUGCAACUCGCCUACAUGAAGCUGGAGUUGCUAGUAAUCGCGAAUCAGAAUGUCGCGGUGAAUACGUUCCCGGGCCUUGUACACACCGCCCGUCACACCAUGAGAGCUGGUAACACCCGAAGUCCGUGAGGUAACCGUAAGGAGCCAGCGGCCGAAGGUGGGAUUAGUGAUUGGGGUGAAGUCGUAACAAGGUAGCCGUAGGAGAACCUGCGGCUGGAUCACCUCCUUUCUA
This 1518-nucleotide ribosomal RNA is filed under the name Clostridium botulinum. RNAcentral describes it as "bacterial SSU rRNA". It matches the Rfam family "Bacterial small subunit ribosomal RNA". Lineage: Bacteria; Bacillati; Bacillota; Clostridia; Eubacteriales; Clostridiaceae. The record is from RNAcentral.